Molecule: ribosomal RNA, 428 nt
Filed under: Bacteroidota bacterium
Lineage: Bacteria; Pseudomonadati; Bacteroidota
Also listed under: 1 other name
Description: Bacteroidetes bacterium partial 16S ribosomal RNA
Rfam family: Bacterial small subunit ribosomal RNA
Source: RNAcentral
UAGGGAAUCUUCGGCAAUGGGGGGAACCCUGACCGAGCAACGCCGCGUGAGUGAAGAAGGUUUUCGGAUCGUAAAGCUCUGUUGUUAAGGAAGAACGAGUGUGAGAAUGGAAAGUUCAUGCUGUGACGGUACUUAACCAGAAAGGGACGGCUAACUACGUGCCAGCAGCCGCGGUAAUACGUAGGUCCCGAGCGUUGUCCGGAUUUAUUGGGCGUAAAGCGAGCGCAGGCGGUUAGAAAAGUCUGAAGUGAAAGGCAGUGGCUCAACCAUUGUAGGCUUUGGAAACUGUUUAACUUGAGUGCAGAAGGGGAGAGUGGAAUUCCAUGUGUAGCGGUGAAAUGCGUAGAUAUAUGGAGGAACACCGGUGGCGAAAGCGGCUCUCUGGUCUGUAACUGACGCUGAGGCUCGAAAGCGUGGGGAGCGAACAG